UAUGUCUUUUGACCAUUUUAUCUCUAGGCUUACUAUUGCUUAUUUUGAAAGAUCAAAGGUAUUUUGGUAAUUUCAUUUUAUGGGAUGAGGUGGCUUAUCCUAAAGGUGGCAGUUGGCCACUUUAGAUUAUUCAGCCUAAGAUUUAUCCAACAAUUAGAGGAAUUAAAAAAUUAAAAAAAAAAAGAUGAAAAAACUCAAAUUUUCUUACUCUCUCUCUCUCUCUCUCUUCCCUUCGAGCCUAGCAAGAACCCACCAAAAUAUUAGGAUUUUGGUUUGAUUUUAAAGAGAUCAUAGUUGAAUCUAAGUGGUGUAAAUCAAAGGUACAGGAAAGGCGAAGGCUGAACAGGAGUGAGCUCCAAGCUUAGAUGGUGAUUAUACAUGUCAAGACGGGCGACUUGGGGUGUUCGAUCUCGGGACAUCUUGGGCAGUAUUUUGCAGUCGCUCUGCGACAUGUUGGUAAAAAUAUUUUGACUAUGUUUGUAAAAGUUUAAACUCGAGAUCGCGAUUAUGUAAAUAUAAGUAUUUAUAAAGUUUGAUAAUUUUAGGUGAGAAAGUUAAUUAGAAAAUAACUGUAGCGCGCCUAAGUAUCAGGGCGUUCCAUCAUGUUAUUUAACAAGAGAUAUGAUAACUUACCAAACAUGCUAGAAUAACUAUGUUGUGUAAAUUGAUUCAUAUUGAUUUACAUUUUGUUAUGUAUCAAAUAUAAAUAUAUCAAUGUGCUUUCGAAUGUAAUAAUAUUCGUUUGCUUUUCAAUUA
Molecule: long non-coding RNA, 756 nt
Organism: Cannabis sativa
Lineage: Eukaryota; Viridiplantae; Streptophyta; Magnoliopsida; Rosales; Cannabaceae
Exons: 2
Source: RefSeq, a predicted model, not a curated record